This 1018-nucleotide long non-coding RNA is filed under the name Felis catus (domestic cat). Its description in RNAcentral is "lncRNA (ENSFCAG00000050665.1)". Lineage: Eukaryota; Metazoa; Chordata; Mammalia; Carnivora; Felidae. The record is from RNAcentral.
ACCUCUCAACGGGACCCAUUUCACAAGGACGGUGAUGGAGUAAAGCCCUCCUAAAGAACCUAUGUGUCUGCUCAGAGUCAUGCUGGGAAAUUUGCAGAAUCAGGAGCCGUGGGAGAGGAUAUCUGGGAACACCAGAAGUGCUAGGUCUGCAUGUGGCUUUCUCCAGCUGUUAUCUUGUCAUUUCUGUACCGCCCCCUUUGACACUACGGGAGGGGAAGAACCAGGCAGUAAGCACGACCUCCGGGACGCCUCGCUGUGGACAGCAACACUGCAGGAACCAGAGAAGCAGGCACCCUUGUCCUCACCUUGUUUUCUCCGCACGCAUCGCAUCACAGGCGGGGCAUGCAGACGGCGUCUACUCGAGGCCUCGCCUGCAGGCCAGCUGCCCAUCUAUUCCCAGCGUGACGAACGGAAACAAAGAAAGAAGCAGACACAGGAAAGGAUGGAAGCAAGGAUGUGGAGGAAAGGGACCCGAACUGUUGGUGGGCUCGCAAACUGCUGCGGCCACCCCGGGGAACAGCGCGGGGUGUGGGGGUCCUGAAAACAUCACAAACAGAAAUAGCACUUGACCUGGCACUCCCUCCCACUUCCGGGUACUUAUGCACAGGAAACACUAAUUGAAAAGAUAUCUGAGACCCCAUGGCCACAGAGCUAUUCACAAUAGCCAAGACGUAAAACAACCUAAGUCCCAUGGAUGGAUGGACAGGUGGAUGUAUGGACAGAUGGGUGGAUAGAUGGAUGGAUGGAUGGAUGGGCGAAUGGAUAAAGCCAUUCAGCCAUAGGAAAGAAAGAAAUCCGGGGCCUGGGUAGUUCAGGUCAAGCAUCUGACUUCAGCUUAGAUCAUAAUCUCACAGUUCAUGAGUUCGAGCCCCACAUCAGGCUCUGCGCUGACAGCUCAGAGCCUGGAGCCUGCUUCGCAUUCUGUGUCUCCCUCUCUUUCUGCUCUGCUCCUCCCUCGCUCACACUCUGUCUCUCCCUCAAAAAUAAAUAAACGUAAGAAAGAAAGAAAGGAAAGAAA